AGGCCUGGAGUCUCGCUCGCCUCUGUUUUCCCCCUGUGGACACACAUGAGACUCAGAUCUUGGCUCGUCGUAGAGGAAUCGAUAGCAAGAAUCAACCAGAGAAAGGAUGUACACAAGGUACUCGAUGGUUUUCCCCCAGCACUAGCUUUGUGUUGAGUUCGUUUUUGUAUUUUUCUGUUUAUGACUGAAGCGAGAAGCUACACAUUGUUGUUCUCCUUUACAGCCUCACGCAUACACACAGUGCACAUCCAGGCCGUGCAGUACACCAUGACCCUCUCACCUUUGCCCAUGCCUGUUAUACGUGUGCAAAGCAUGCCAAUAGUGCCCAGCACAGGAGCUGCACCCAUGCUACAUGCCCUGCUUUAUUUGUUACAGUUCUACACAAGUGGAAACCCCAAGCUAAAUUAUAGAGAACAAAAAUAGCUCACAGUCAGAGAUCAGAUUGAAUGAGGACCGGUGCUCUAAUUGAUUCUUUUGCAAGGAGGGGUUUCAGUGUUCAAACAUAAUGCAUUUCCAUUUUCAGUUUGACCAAACUUGUAUGCGGAGUAAAAGGAGAAGGUGGGGGUAUAACGACAUAUCCGUGAUUACAUGGUCAAAAUACAGACCUAGGAUAUUUGAAUGUUUCCAUAUAAAUGUUAUCCUCUACCCGCAAAAUAAUAAUAUAAAUGUAGUCGUCUUAUAUUUCGUAGCUUCCUGUUACCAGGAUUGAUAGCUAUCGUAUUUCAUUCCGUUGUUUAGUAAUGAAUUGUUGUGAUGCAUUUUUUACUUUAAUCCUUGCUACUUUUACAGCAGCCUUCUCGCGCAGAUCAUUUUGUAUAGAUGUAUAACGGCAUGCCCGUGAUUGCUCUGUAAAAACCCGGCCUAGGAUAUAUGAAUACUCCAUAUGUGCAGCCUUCUUGCGCAGAUCAUUUUGUAUAGACGUAUAACGGCAUGCCCGUGAUUGCUCUGUAAAAACCCGGCCUAGGAUAUAUGAAUACUUCCAUAUAAACAUAUGCCUCUUCUAUUUUGUAGUUUCUCAUUCUAAAGAAUGAUAUAUAUCAUAUUUCAUUAUGUUGUUUCGGUAAAUAAAUUUCCUUUCUGAUUCUUUUUUGUUAAGUAUCCAAGUAAGAGUCUGAUUAGUGGCGGUGAUUUCAGAGCUCGAGGCAGAGAUGGCGGAGCUCGGGCGAGCUUGAGACUAUGGAUCUAGGACUUGAGUGCUCACGGGAUGGAGGUGCUCAGGAUGGAGGCAGGGGAGGGCGCCCUGCGGGAAGUGAUUUAUGUGCUCCUUGAUUAGGUUUUUUUAUAACCGAUGGCAUCUUACAUUGUUGUCUUUUACCGAUUAACUGGUUAAAAUGGUCUUCAAGGGAAAACCAACGCAGUGCUCAAGAGGUAGCAAUGACCGAGGUGUUAAACUA
Molecule: long non-coding RNA, 1394 nt
Filed under: Triticum aestivum (bread wheat)
Lineage: Eukaryota; Viridiplantae; Streptophyta; Magnoliopsida; Poales; Poaceae
Description: long non-coding RNA (TAES_LNC020508)
Source: RNAcentral